AAACUCGAUGACUUGGCCCAUCAUCGCUGGGGUGAGUGCGGCAGCGGCCGCCGUCCUCCUCCUCCCCGUGGCCUUCGUCUGCUUCAGAAAAACCCGAGCCAGAAAAGGAGCCGCACUGAGACCGAGCAGCACCAGCCCUAUGGGGGCAUUAAAGGCACCAGCUCAGCAAGACUCCACCU
Molecule: long non-coding RNA, 179 nt
Organism: Mauremys mutica (yellowpond turtle)
Lineage: Eukaryota; Metazoa; Chordata; Testudines; Geoemydidae
Exons: 3
Source: RefSeq, a predicted model, not a curated record